Malus domestica (apple) is the source of this 516-nucleotide non-coding RNA. The record is from RefSeq and is a predicted model, not a curated record. NCBI's taxonomy places the organism in Eukaryota, Viridiplantae, Streptophyta, Magnoliopsida, Rosales, Rosaceae.
UAUUUAAAAAUUGUUUUUAAAGCCUUAAUUGGUGAGCCCGUGGGGCCCACCUUGUUUUAUUUAUUGUGUGUUUCCCGGUCUCCCUCUUCCCUAUCUCAGUUCUCUCUCCACUCACCCGAGCUCUCUCUCCCUCGUCUCUCUCUUUCUCGUCCUCCCAUGAGCACAUACCCAUCACCACACCACCAUCUCCGACGUCAACGGCGUCGUCAUCAUCAUCAUCAGUUCGUUUUCUCUCUCUCUCAGUUGCUGCGAGGACAGCAAAAACCAGUACUCGAGCUCCGACACAAACCGACGCCUUUCGAGGCCAUUUCCGGCCAAACCACGGCGGGUUGGCCGGCGUGCAAGUUUCCGGCGAGUCCGACGGCUUUCGAGGCGUUUUCCGGCCAAACCACGGCGAGUUAGACGUCGUGUGAGGGGCAAUUAUUGUUGACGUUUUCUUGUUCGUUAGUUUGCGUGGCUCUUCGGCGGCUAAGUACUGAUUUAGGAUCGAGGCAUACAAUCCCGGCAUCCAGGCAC